UAUAUAUUUGCGCUAUUAGACGCUAUAACAUUAUCCAUUCUAUAACUUUGUAUAUGGGUGUAUAAAAAUUCAUAGCUAAGGCUUUCGACAUUGUUUCCAACAUCGUAAUCAUCCCAAGCUACACAUAGUGCACAGGUGUGAGAGGUGGAUGUGUGAUCAAGGUGUGCACAUGCCUUAAAGGCCAGCUACAACCCUUCUCAACAUUCAUUUCAUUAAUGAUCCUUCCGCAGGUUCACCUACGGAAA
This 245-nucleotide unclassified non-coding RNA is filed under the name uncultured fungus. RNAcentral describes it as "sequence contains ITS1". Lineage: Eukaryota; Fungi. The record is from RNAcentral.